Molecule: unclassified non-coding RNA, 289 nt
Filed under: uncultured fungus
Lineage: Eukaryota; Fungi
Description: partial contains small subunit ribosomal RNA, internal transcribed spacer 1, and 5.8S ribosomal RNA
Rfam family: Eukaryotic small subunit ribosomal RNA (bases 1-73)
Source: RNAcentral
GCAAACUUGGUCAUUUAGAGGAAGUAAAAGUCGUAACAAGGUUUCCGUAGGUGAACCUGCGGAAGGAUCAUUAUUGAAUUAAGAAUUUUGGGGUUACCUAAAAUUUCUUCCUUCUAAACCUUUGCUUAAAAUAUUACCUUUAUGUUGCUUCGGUGUGAAAUAUCACCGAUAGCCCCCUUUAAAAAUUCAUUUUAAAACUUGAUCUGAAUAUUCUAAAUUUUUAACCAAAAAUUGAAUUAAAACUUUCAACAACGGAUCUCUUGGCUCUGGCAUCGAUGAAGAACGCAGC